This 963-nucleotide ribosomal RNA is filed under the name Lophiostoma compressum. Its description in RNAcentral is "partial large subunit ribosomal RNA". It matches the Rfam family "Eukaryotic large subunit ribosomal RNA", at positions 1 to 980 of the family's 3401-position model. The record is from RNAcentral. Lineage: Eukaryota; Fungi; Ascomycota; Dothideomycetes; Pleosporales; Lophiostomataceae.
AUUGACCUCGGAUCAGGUAGGGAUACCCGCUGAACUUAAGCAUAUCAAUAAGCGGAGGAAAAGAAACCAACAGGGAUUGCCCUAGUAACGGCGAGUGAAGCGGCAACAGCUCAAAUUUGAAAUCUGGCUCCUUUGGGGUCCGAGUUGUAAUUUGUAGAGGGUGCUUUGGCGUUGGUUGUGGUCUAAGUUCCUUGGAACAGGACGUCACAGAGGGUGAGAAUCCCGUACGUGGCCGCCAGCCUCCGCCGUGUAAAGCCCCUUCGAUGAGUCGAGUUGUUUGGGAAUGCAGCUCUAAAUGGGAGGUAAAUUUCUUCUAAAGCUAAAUAUUUGCCAGAGACCGAUAGCGCACAAGUAGAGUGAUCGAAAGAUGAAAAGCACUUUGGAAAGAGAGUCAAAAAGCACGUGAAAUUGUUGAAAGGGAAGCGCUUGCAGCUAGACGUGCCUUGGGUUGAUCAGCCGGACUUUUGCCCGGUGCACUCUUCCUUUGGCAGGCCAGCAUCAGUUUGGGCGGCUGGAUAAAGGUCUGUUAAACGUGACUUCCUUCGGGGAGAGCUUAUAGGGCAGACGACAUGCAGCCAGCCUGAACUGAGGUCCGCGCAUCUGCUAGGAUGCUGGCGUAAUAGCUGUAAGCGGCCCGUCUUGAAACACGGACCAAGGAGUCUAACAUCUAUGCGAGUGUUUGGGUGUCAAGCCCGAGCGCGUAAUGAAAGUAAACGGAGGUGGGAACCUUUUAGGUGCACCAUCGACCGAUCCUGAUGUCUUCGGAUGGAUUUGAGUAAGAGCAUAGCUGUUGGGACCCGAAAGAUGGUGAACUAUGCCUGAAUAGGGUGAAGCCAGAGGAAACUCUGGUGGAGGCUCGCAGCGGUUCUGACGUGCAAAUCGAUCGUCAAAUUUGGGCAUAGGGGCGAAAGACUAAUCGAACUAUCUAGUAGCUGGUUCCUGCCGAAGUUUCCCCUCAGGAAA